GACGAACGCUGGCGGCGUGCUUAACACAUGCAAGUCGAACGGAAAGGCCCUGCUUUUGUGGGGUGCUCGAGUGGCGAACGGGUGAGUAACACGUGAGUAACCUGCCCUUGACUUUGGGAUAACUUCAGGAAACUGGGGCUAAUACCGGAUAGGAGCUCCUGCUGCAUGGUGGGGGUUGGAAAGUUUCGGCGGUUGGGGAUGGACUCGCGGCUUAUCAGCUUGUUGGUGGGGUAGUGGCUUACCAAGGCUUUGACGGGUAGCCGGCCUGAGAGGGUGACCGGCCACAUUGGGACUGAGACACGGCCCAGACUCCUACGGGAGGCAGCAGUGGGGAAUAUUGCACAAUGGGCGGAAGCCUGAUGCAGCAACGCCGCGUGCGGGAUGACGGCCUUCGGGUUGUAAACCUCUUUCGCCUGUGACGAAGCGUGAGUGACGGUACUGGGUGAAGAAGCACCGGCUAACUACGUG
This 468-nucleotide ribosomal RNA is filed under the name uncultured bacterium. RNAcentral describes it as "partial 16S ribosomal RNA". It matches the Rfam family "Bacterial small subunit ribosomal RNA", at positions 28 to 507 of the family's 1533-position model. The record is from RNAcentral.